GCGUCGGUGGCAGAGUGGUCAAAUGCAUCAGGCUGUAAACCUGACGGAUUUAUCCUACGUAGGUUCAAAUCCUACUCGGCGCA
RNAcentral lists this transfer RNA (83 nucleotides) under Nannocystaceae bacterium. RNAcentral describes it as "tRNA-Tyr". It matches the Rfam family "tRNA". From Rfam's summary of the family: Transfer RNA (tRNA) molecules are approximately 80 nucleotides in length. Their secondary structure includes four short double-helical elements and three loops (D, anti-codon, and T loops). The record is from RNAcentral. Lineage: Bacteria; Pseudomonadati; Myxococcota; Nannocystales; Nannocystaceae.